Molecule: ribosomal RNA, 226 nt
Filed under: uncultured bacterium
Lineage: Bacteria
Description: partial 16S ribosomal RNA
Rfam family: Bacterial small subunit ribosomal RNA
Source: RNAcentral
UGAGUAACACGUAUCCAACCUGCCGUCUACUCUUGGACAGCCUUCUGAAAGGAAGAUUAAUACAAGAUGGCAUCAUGAGUCCGCAUGUUCACAUGAUUAAAGGUAUUCCGGUAGACGAUGGGGAUGCGUUCCAUUAGAUAGUAGGCGGGGUAACGGCCCACCUAGUCUUCGAUGGAUAGGGGUUCUGAGAGGAAGGUCCCCCACAUUGGAACUGAGACACGGUCAA